This 1446-nucleotide long non-coding RNA is filed under the name Sarcophilus harrisii (Tasmanian devil). RNAcentral's name for it is "lncRNA (ENSSHAG00000029331.1)". The record is from RNAcentral. Lineage: Eukaryota; Metazoa; Chordata; Mammalia; Dasyuromorphia; Dasyuridae.
AAUUGUUAUCUUAUUUGAACCUCUCUUCAGCCCUGGGAAUAGGGAGAUGCAAUUAUUAUUCCAUUUUUUUUGCAGAUGAAGAAACUGAGAAGACAGAUUAAGUGACUUGCCCAGAAUUACAUAGCUAAGAAGUGUUUGAGGACAGACUUGAUCUCAGAUUCAAAUUUAUCUAUCAUCCAUCCUCCUACACACAUCAGCUGAAAGAAAACAAUAAGAUGAAUUUCUCUAAUAUGGCUAAAGAACAAAGAUCCCAAAAGUAAACUCGACACACUGAAGAAAGGGCAAUUUCAGAACUCUACCACGAUCUCAGAUAACCUUAGGAAACUUCACAGAAGUACCAUAAAAGGGAAAAAAAGAAUGUCUAUCAAAAUUUCCAGAACUCUUUUGUACAUACCGUGUACAACCUUGAGCCUACUUCCUCCUGGACUCUGUGAGUAUUUAUGGGAAAAUAUGUGCUUUGGAUAGAGACACACAGGAUAUUUGUGUAUAUUUGUGCUAAUUAUUAAUACUAUGCUACUUUAGUAAACACCCAUAUCUAAAAGUAAAUUAAAUCUGGCUGAGUAAUUAUUAACUGAUAAUCAAUGGGAAAAGCAUAGUCAUUUGGAUACAAUAAUGAUAGAGCUAGAAAAUUAUUCCUCAGCUCCAAAGAGUAACCUAGAAUAAAGAAGAAUCAUUUCUACCCUCUAUAUAUCCAGCCUACCCAAGUGAGGGAGGGUUGAAAGACUCAUAUGAGAGACAUUUUAAAGAGUCAGUUUCACUUAUCAGUUCCAUAUUCUUUUCUGUUUCCAUUUCUCUAGUUCUAUAAUUUUUAAAUUUUCUCCUCUUAUGCUUAUUUUAGGUUUCUUUAUUUGUUGGUUUUCUAAUGAAAAGAUAGGUAUUGAUUUUUAUAAAUCUUUCUUUUUCUAUUUUGUGAAUAUAAGUUUUUAGAAAUAUAAUUUUUUCUCUGAGGACUCCAUUAAUCAUUUCUCAGAAAUUUUAAUAAUUGUCUUGUUACUCUCAUUGUUUUUCAUUUAGUUACUAAUUGUUUCUAUAAUUGGUUCAUUGACCCACUUAAGACGAUUUAAGGGCUUUAUUGUUAAGAUUCAUUUAUGUCUGUGUCUUUUGAUCGUAUCCCCUAUAGUAUUACUAUUUUAUAACAUUAUGGCCAAUAAAGAAUAUAUUUAGUAUUUCUUGUUUUUUGAGUUAUCUUUAGUUUUUCUUUGUUCUGAUAAAUGGUUUAUGUUUAACUUAUCAUGCUGAGAAAAAAAGUAUAUUUCUUAGUGGUCCCAUUCUAAAGGUAUCAAUCCUUCUAAAUCUAAAUUUUUCAAUAAUUUGUCCAAUUGUUGUUGUUUUAUGUUUUUGUUUAUCUGUCUGUUAGAUUUUUUUGUAUCAUUGAAAAGAAAACUGAAAUCUUCCAAUGUUAUUGGGCUUUUGUUCAUGGACUUUUGGAAUUCAAGAAAUAUGUAC